GCUCGAGCGCCUGGCGGAAGAGCGCCCGUCGGUGGUGUUGUCCGACAUCGAGAUGCCACGGAUGGAUGGCUUCGACCUGGUGCGC
This 85-nucleotide transfer RNA is filed under the name Methylibium petroleiphilum PM1. RNAcentral's name for it is "tRNA-Leu". The record is from RNAcentral. Lineage: Bacteria; Pseudomonadati; Pseudomonadota; Betaproteobacteria; Burkholderiales; Sphaerotilaceae.